GGAUGUGAGGGCGAUCUGGCUGCAGCAUCUGUCACCCCACUGAUCACCAGGCUUGAUGCAGCUGAUCUGGCUGGCUAGGCGGGUGUCCCCUUCCUCCCUCACUGUUCCAUGUGGUUCCCUCCCGAAGCUGCACGCUCAGUGGACAGGAGGAUGGCCUUCCCCAAUAGAGACAGACACGUCUUUGGUCGAGGGUAUACUAGUGUCUGUGCUCCCCUGCUAGUGCCUCCAAACAAGCUCUCAACGUCCAUUUCUUAGGUUACACUUUCUUAAUAGUGCCCUUUGACGUAAAGUUCUUAACUUUGAUGAAAUCCAAAAGUUGUCUUUUU
RNAcentral lists this small nuclear RNA (326 nucleotides) under Erinaceus europaeus (western European hedgehog). Its description in RNAcentral is "7SK RNA". It matches the Rfam family "7SK RNA". From Rfam's summary of the family: 7SK was discovered as an abundant small nuclear RNA in the mid-70s but a possible function has only recently been suggested. Two independent studies have found that 7SK RNA binds the CDK9/cyclin T complex (known as elongation factor P-TEFb). Lineage: Eukaryota; Metazoa; Chordata; Mammalia; Eulipotyphla; Erinaceidae. The record is from Rfam by way of RNAcentral.